This 1369-nucleotide ribosomal RNA is filed under the name uncultured bacterium. RNAcentral's name for it is "bacterial SSU rRNA". It matches the Rfam family "Bacterial small subunit ribosomal RNA", at positions 28 to 1381 of the family's 1533-position model. The record is from RNAcentral.
GACGAACGCUGGCGGCGUGCCUAAUACAUGCAAGUAGAACGCUGAAGAGAGGAGCUUGCUCUUCUUGGAUGAGUUGCGAACGGGUGAGUAACGCGUAGGUAACCUGCCUUGUAGCGGGGGAUAACUAUUGGAAACGAUAGCUAAUACCGCAUAACAAUGGAUGACACAUGUCAUUUAUUUGAAAGGGGCAAUUGCUCCACUACAAGAUGGACCUGCGUUGUAUUAGCUAGUAGGUGAGGUAACGGCUCACCUAGGCGACGAUACAUAGCCGACCUGAGAGGGUGAUCGGCCACACUGGGACUGAGACACGGCCCAGACUCCUACGGGAGGCAGCAGUAGGGAAUCUUCGGCAAUGGGGGCAACCCUGACCGAGCAACGCCGCGUGAGUGAAGAAGGUUUUCGGAUCGUAAAGCUCUGUUGUAAGUCAAGAACGAGUGUGAGAGUGGAAAGUUCACACUGUGACGGUAGCUUACCAGAAAGGGACGGCUAACUACGUGCCAGCAGCCGCGGUAAUACGUAGGUCCCGAGCGUUGUCCGGAUUUAUUGGGCGUAAAGCGAGCGCAGGCGGUUUGAUAAGUCUGAAGUUAAAGGCUGUGGCUCAACCAUAGUUCGCUUUGGAAACUGUCAAACUUGAGUGCAGAAGGGGAGAGUGGAAUUCCAUGUGUAGCGGUGAAAUGCGUAGAUAUAUGGAGGAACACCGGUGGCGAAAGCGGCUCUCUGGUCUGUAACUGACGCUGAGGCUCGAAAGCGUGGGGAGCGAACAGGAUUAGAUACCCUGGUAGUCCACGCCGUAAACGAUGAGUGCUAGGUGUUGGAUCCUUUCCGGGAUUCAGUGCCGCAGCUAACGCAUUAAGCACUCCGCCUGGGGAGUACGACCGCAAGGUUGAAACUCAAAGGAAUUGACGGGGGCCCGCACAAGCGGUGGAGCAUGUGGUUUAAUUCGAAGCAACGCGAAGAACCUUACCAGGUCUUGACAUCCCGAUGCUAUUUCUAGAGAUAGAAAGUUACUUCGGUACAUCGGUGACAGGUGGUGCAUGGUUGUCGUCAGCUCGUGUCGUGAGAUGUUGGGUUAAGUCCCGCAACGAGCGCAACCCCUAUUGUUAGUUGCCAUCAUUCAGUUGGGCACUCUAGCGAGACUGCCGGUAAUAAACCGGAGGAAGGUGGGGAUGACGUCAAAUCAUCAUGCCCCUUAUGACCUGGGCUAUACACGUGCUACAAUGGUUGGUACAACGAGUUGCGAGUCGGUGACGGCAAGCUAAUCUCUUAAAGCCAAUCUCAGUUCGGAUUGUAGGCUGCAACUCGCCUACAUGAAGUCGGAAUCGCUAGUAAUCGCGGAUCAGCACGCCGCGGUGAAUACGUUCCCGGGCCU